GAUGAAGAACGUAGCGAAAUGCGAUAAGUAAUGUGAAUUGCAGAAUUCAGUGUAUCAUCGAAUCUUUGAACGCACAUUGCGCCCGCCAGUAUUCUGGCGGGCAUGCCUGUCCGAGCGUCAUUUCAACCCUCGAACCCCUCCGGGGGGUCGGCGUUGGGGAUCGGCCCUUUACGGGGCCGGCCCCGAAAUACAGUGGCGGUCUCGCCGCAGCCUCUCCUGCGCAGUAGUUUGCACACUCGCAUCGGGAGCGCGGCGCGUCCACAGCCGUUAAACACCCCAAACUUCUGAAAUGUUGACCUCGGAUCAGGUAGGAAUACCCGCUGAACUUAAGCAUAUCAAUAAGCGGAGGA
Molecule: unclassified non-coding RNA, 350 nt
Filed under: soil metagenome
Description: partial contains 5.8S ribosomal RNA, internal transcribed spacer 2, and large subunit ribosomal RNA
Rfam family: 5.8S ribosomal RNA (bases 1-120)
Source: RNAcentral